This 152-nucleotide ribosomal RNA is filed under the name uncultured Selenomonas sp. RNAcentral's name for it is "partial 16S ribosomal RNA". It matches the Rfam family "Bacterial small subunit ribosomal RNA", at positions 338 to 487 of the family's 1533-position model. The record is from RNAcentral. Lineage: Bacteria; Bacillati; Bacillota; Negativicutes; Selenomonadales; Selenomonadaceae.
CCUACGGGAGGCAGCAGUAGGGAAUCUCCGCAAUGGGCGAAAGCCUGAUGGAGCACAACCGCGUGAGCGAAGAAGCUGUUCGGCUCGUAAAGCUAUGAAGUAAGGGAAGAUCAAGAGCUGCAUUCUCUGGGUGCAUCCGACGGUACAACAGG